UUAAAAUUCAUCAAAAGAUACGUUGGCGAAACGAUAGAACACUCAAAAGGUAGAGGCGCAUCCAUCGCCAACUCAGAAAGCCCCGAUCGUAUCGAGACCACAGCGGGAAAGUCGGCGUGCCUUUGACUUUUUUGUCUGCGUUUCUCACAUUUGUGAGGUGUCUCUUACGAACGGUGGCUGCUUCGUGGCAGAUUUUAUAAAUAAAAUUGCAUUCAGGAAA
This is a non-coding RNA of Caenorhabditis elegans, 220 nucleotides long. The record is from Ensembl. Lineage: Eukaryota; Metazoa; Nematoda; Chromadorea; Rhabditida; Rhabditidae.